This 376-nucleotide ribosomal RNA is filed under the name uncultured bacterium. RNAcentral's name for it is "bacterial SSU rRNA". It matches the Rfam family "Bacterial small subunit ribosomal RNA", at positions 521 to 896 of the family's 1533-position model. The record is from RNAcentral.
UAAGACGAACCGUGCGAACGUUAUUCGGAAUCACUGGGCUUAAAGGGUGCGUAGGCGGUCUGUCAAGUCAGGGGUGAAAUCCUUCGGCUUAACCGGAGAACAGCCCCUGAUACUGAUGGGCUCGAGGGAGAUAGAGGCAGCCGGAACUACCGGUGGAGCGGUGAAAUGCGUUGAUAUCGGUAGGAACGCCAGAGGCGUAAGCGGGCUGCUGGAUCUCUUCUGACGCUGAUGCACGAAAGCUAGGGGAGCAAACGGGAUUAGAUACCCCGGUAGUCCUAGCCCUAAACGAUGAGGACUGGAUGGUGGACCGGACACGGGCUCACCGUCGCAACAAAAGCGCUAAGUCCUCCGCCUGGGGAGUAUGGUCGCAAGGCUG